AUUGAACGCUGGCGGCAUGCCUUACACAUGCAAGUCGAACGGCAGCACGGGAGCAAUCCUGGUGGCGAGUGGCGAACGGGUGAGUAAUAUAUCGGAACGUGCCCAGUCGUGGGGGAUAACGUAGUGAAAGCUACGCUAAUACCGCAUACGAUCUAUGGAUGAAAGCGGGGGAUCGCAAGACCUCGCGCGAUUGGAGCGGCCGAUAUCAGAUUAGCUAGUUGGUGGGGUAAAGGCCCACCAAGGCGACGAUCUGUAGCUGGUCUGAGAGGACGACCAGCCACACUGGGACUGAGACACGGCCCAGACUCCUACGGGAGGCAGCAGUGGGGAAUUUUGGACAAUGGGCGCAAGCCUGAUCCAGCAAUGCCGCGUGCAGGACGAAGGCCUUCGGGUUGUAAACUGCUUUUGUACGGAACGAAACGGCUCUCUCUAAUACAGGGGGCUAAUGACGGUACCGUAAGAAUAAGCACCGGCUAACUACGUGCCAGCAGCCGCAGUAA
Molecule: ribosomal RNA, 500 nt
Filed under: uncultured bacterium
Lineage: Bacteria
Description: partial 16S ribosomal RNA
Rfam family: Bacterial small subunit ribosomal RNA
Source: RNAcentral